RNAcentral lists this ribosomal RNA (253 nucleotides) under uncultured bacterium. Its description in RNAcentral is "partial 16S ribosomal RNA". It matches the Rfam family "Bacterial small subunit ribosomal RNA", at positions 524 to 776 of the family's 1533-position model. The record is from RNAcentral.
UACGUAGGGUGCGAGCGUUGUCCGGAUUUAUUGGGCGUAAAGAGCUCGUAGGCGGUUUGUCGCGUCGGCCGUGAAAUCUCCACGCUUAACGUGGAGCGUGCGGUCGAUACGGGCAGACUUGAGUUCGGUAGGGGAGACUGGAAUUCCGGGUGGAGUGGUGAAAUGCGUAGAGAUCCGGAGGAACACCAAGGGCGAAGGCAGUGUCCUGGGGAGUACCUGACGCUCAGGUGCGAAAGCCAGGGGAGCGAACGGG